AACCCCAAAUUCUUGUUCACUAGUACUAAUCAAUGCUCUCUCUUUAUUCUUACAGCAUUUAUGCAAGGGCUGAGUAUGUGUUUUGGAGGGAAAAGACUGGCUUUGGAAACAUACUUGGAGAGGAAGGCAUGAUCUACAAUGAGAACAAAGAAAGCUGCCUGAACAACUGAGGAAAACAGAAAAGUAAGAAAGAAGCUUCUCUGAAUAGAAAAUGACAACAUUCAGUUGAAAAGAAAUUGUUAAACAGGGAAUGUCAAUACUAGCAAUUAAAG
Molecule: long non-coding RNA, 272 nt
Filed under: Fukomys damarensis (Damara mole-rat)
Lineage: Eukaryota; Metazoa; Chordata; Mammalia; Rodentia; Bathyergidae
Description: lncRNA (ENSFDAG00000023524.1)
Source: RNAcentral